GCGGGGAUAGCCAAGCAGUAAGGCAGGAGGCUGCAACCCUCCCAUCCUGGGUGCAAAUCCCGGUCCCCGCU
RNAcentral lists this transfer RNA (71 nucleotides) under Candidatus Woesearchaeota archaeon. RNAcentral's name for it is "tRNA-Cys". It matches the Rfam family "tRNA". Rfam says of the family: Transfer RNA (tRNA) molecules are approximately 80 nucleotides in length. Their secondary structure includes four short double-helical elements and three loops (D, anti-codon, and T loops). Further hydrogen bonds mediate the characteristic L-shaped molecular structure. tRNAs have two regions of fundamental functional importance: the anti-codon, which is responsible for specific mRNA codon recognition, and the 3' end, to which the tRNAs corresponding amino acid is attached (by aminoacyl-tRNA synthetases). tRNAs cope with the degeneracy of the genetic code in two manners: having more than one tRNA (with a specific anti-codon) for a particular amino acid; and 'wobble' base-pairing, i.e. permitting non-standard base-pairing at the 3rd anti-codon position. Lineage: Archaea; Nanobdellati; Candidatus Woesearchaeota. The record is from RNAcentral.